RNAcentral lists this transfer RNA (75 nucleotides) under Aeromonas phage Akh-2. Its description in RNAcentral is "tRNA-Met". It matches the Rfam family "tRNA". From Rfam's summary of the family: Transfer RNA (tRNA) molecules are approximately 80 nucleotides in length. Their secondary structure includes four short double-helical elements and three loops (D, anti-codon, and T loops). Further hydrogen bonds mediate the characteristic L-shaped molecular structure. tRNAs have two regions of fundamental functional importance: the anti-codon, which is responsible for specific mRNA codon recognition, and the 3' end, to which the tRNAs corresponding amino acid is attached (by aminoacyl-tRNA synthetases). tRNAs cope with the degeneracy of the genetic code in two manners: having more than one tRNA (with a specific anti-codon) for a particular amino acid; and 'wobble' base-pairing, i.e. permitting non-standard base-pairing at the 3rd anti-codon position. Lineage: Duplodnaviria; Heunggongvirae; Uroviricota; Caudoviricetes; Demerecviridae. The record is from RNAcentral.
AGAGGGAUAGCUCCAACAGGUUAGAGCAUUCGUUUCAUACGCGAACGCGUGUCGGUUCGAUUCCGACUCCCUCUA